UACGUAGGGUGCGAGCGUUAAUCGGAAUUACUGGGCGUAAAGGGCGCGUAGGCGGCGUGGUAAGUCACUUGUGAAAUCUCCGAGCUUAACUCGGAACGGUCAAGUGAUACUGCUGUGCUAGAGUGCAGAAGGGGCAAUCGGAAUUCUUGGUGUAGCGGUGAAAUGCGUAGAUAUCAAGAGGAACACCUGAGGUGAAGACGGGUUGCUGGGCUGACACUGACGCUGAGGCGCGAAAGCUAGGGUAGCAAACGGG
This 253-nucleotide ribosomal RNA is filed under the name uncultured bacterium. RNAcentral's name for it is "partial 16S ribosomal RNA". It matches the Rfam family "Bacterial small subunit ribosomal RNA", at positions 524 to 776 of the family's 1533-position model. The record is from RNAcentral.